This 846-nucleotide long non-coding RNA is filed under the name Homo sapiens (human). Its description in RNAcentral is "long non-coding RNA NONHSAT183569.1". Lineage: Eukaryota; Metazoa; Chordata; Mammalia; Primates; Hominidae. The record is from RNAcentral.
GGAGGAAGUAGCGUGGAGCCGGUGCCGAGCCGGGGCGAAGCUGGAUCCCCUAGAUAGACUGUCUUCAAGCUCACUGAUAUUUUCCUCUGCUUGAUCCAUUGUGCUGUUGAGAGCCUCUAGUAAAUUUUUCAGACUGACAGACUUCAAGGAUGCAGCUGCUACUACCGGAGGUGUGUGGCACCUUACCUCAGCAAGGCCAUGAGACCGUGUGGCCAUGAUGUGGGCCCCUCAUGGCCUCAGCAGGAACACAGCACUAUAGUAUUGGCCUCCGCCAGAAAAACAGCUUCAAGCAGAGUGGUCCCUCAGGCACAGUACCUGCCACGCCACCUGAGAAACCCUCGGAGGGCAGAGUCUGGCCUCAGGCCCAUCAGCAAGUGAAGCCAAUCUGGAAGCUGGAAAAGAAGCAAGUGGAGACACUGUCAGCAGGGUUGGGCCCAGGCCUCUUGGGCGUCCCACCCCAGCCAGCAUAUUUCUUUUGCCCCAGCACUUUAUGUAGCUCUGGGACCACGGCUGUCAUUGCAGGCCACAGCAGUUCCUGUUACCUACACUCUCUCCCGGACUUGUUCAACAGCACCCUGCUAUACCGCCGCUCCAGCUAUAGGCAAAAACCGUACCAGCAACUGGAGUCUUUCUGCUUGCGUUCGAGCCCGUCAGAAAAAAGCCCUUUUUCUCUCCCUCAAAAGAGCCUCCCUGUCAGUCUCACUGCCAACAAGGCCACUUCUUCCAUGGUCUUCUCCAUGGCCCAGCCCAUGGCCUCCUCAUCCACAGAACCAUACCUCUGCUUGGCAGCGGCUGGGGAAAACCCUUCAGGGAAGAGCCUGGCCUCUGCCAUCUCAGGGAAGAUCC